CAGGACGAACGCUGGCGGCGUGCUUAACACAUGCAAGUCGAACGGAGAUACAUUGGAGGAGAGCUUCGGCAGGAAUCCGGCGUAUCUUAGUGGCGGACGGGUGAGUAACGCGUGAGCAACCUGUCCCAGACAGGGGGAUAACACUUGGAAACAGGUGCUAAUACCGCAUAAGACCACGGUGUCACAUGGCGCUGAGGUAAAAGGAGAAAUCCGGUUUGGGGUGGGCUCGCGUCCGAUUAGAUAGUUGGUGAGGUAACGGCCCACCAAGUCGACGAUCGGUAGCCGACCUGAGAGGGUGAUCGGCCACAUUGGAACUGAGAGACGGUCCAAACUCCUACGGGAGGCAGCAGUGGGGAAUAUUGGGCAAUGGGCGAAAGCCUGACCCAGCAACGCCGCGUGAGUGAAGAAGGCUUUCGGGUUGUAAAGCUCUGUUAUAGGGGACGAAGGAAGUGACGGUACCCUAUAAGGAAGCCCCGGCUAACUACGUGCCAGCAGCUGC
This 499-nucleotide ribosomal RNA is filed under the name uncultured bacterium. RNAcentral describes it as "bacterial SSU rRNA". It matches the Rfam family "Bacterial small subunit ribosomal RNA", at positions 25 to 518 of the family's 1533-position model. The record is from RNAcentral.